AGAGUUUGAUCCUGGCUCAGGAUGAACGCUGGCGGUGCGCCUAAUGCAUGCAAGUCGAACGACGCAUAUUGGAGGGGUAACCCAUCGAUAUGACGGAGUGGCGAACGGGUGCGUAACACGUGAGUAAUCUGCCCCACAGACCGGGAUAGCCCAGGGAAACCUGGAUUAAUACCGGAUGACCUCGUAGGACCACAUGGUCUCUCGAGGAAAUGCCUUUGUGCUGUGGGAUGAACUCGCGGCUUAUCAGCUAGUUGGUGGGGUAACGGCCUACCAAGGCAUUGACGAGUAGCUGGUCUGAGAGGACGAUCAGCCACACUGGGACUGAGACACGGCCCAGACUCCUACGGGAGGCAGCAGCAGGGAAUCUUGCGCAAUGGACGAAAGUCUGACGCAGCGACACCGCGUGGGGGAUGAAGGCCUUCGGGUUGUAAACCCCUUUCAGGAGGGAAGAAAUUGACGGUACCUCCAAAAGAAGCACCGGCCAACUACGUGCCAGCAGCCGCGGUAAUACGUAGGGUGCGAGCGUUAUCCGGAAUCAUUGGGCGUAAAGAGCUCGUAGGCGGUUCAGCAAGUCGGCUGUGAAAGUUCGAGGCUCAACCUCGAAAUUGCAGUCGAUACUGCUGUGACUCGAGUCCGGUAGAGGAGAAUGGAAUUCUCGGUGUAGCGGUGAAAUGCGCAGAUAUCGAGAGGAACACCAGU
This 699-nucleotide ribosomal RNA is filed under the name uncultured bacterium. RNAcentral's name for it is "bacterial SSU rRNA". It matches the Rfam family "Bacterial small subunit ribosomal RNA", at positions 8 to 713 of the family's 1533-position model. The record is from RNAcentral.